GCUAAGGUGAUUUAGAAUGUUGAUCUCUCUGUUGGAACACAACUUGGCUAUAGUUUUCUAACAGCCUUGUCUACACAUGUAACCAGUUUACUCUUAAGUCCCUGGAUUAGUUAGUCAAAAGGUGCUCUAGAGAAACAGAACCAAAGAAUGUGUAUACAGAGGCAUAUUUAUUUCAAAGAAUUGGCUCAUGUAAUUGUGAAAGCUUGGUUAAGGCCAAAAUUAAGCAGGGCAGAGACUUAGGAAAGAGUUGCAGUUGUGUUCAAAAGCAGUCAGCUGGCUGAAUUUAUCCUCACUUGGAAAAGCAAGUAAAGUUGAGGAUGUAUUGUCAGAUCCUUGUACAGAAGAAAAGAAGUGAAAAUAAUGAAAACAAUGGCAAGAGAAGUUACUAUUUCCCAGAGGAAAAACGCUGCUGUAAAAGGAGCUCAUAUAUUUUAGCUGUGGUGUUAAUUUUGAAGUCAGCAUGAGUCAUUAAAUUAAAGUAUUGUAAUUUGGAAAUAUAUUUAAAAUGAAAAGAAAUAAAAAAGAGUACUAGAAAAUGUACUUCUAAUAGUCUCUUUCAUUUAAGCAAAGAUCAUGUUGAAAUUUAACCACUCUUAGUACUGAAAAAUAUUUUGUUUUAUUUCAGUUAUCUAUUAAAAUCCAGAAGCAUACAUAUUUUUAAAUUUGCUACUGAAACUGAGAUCAGCGGAUCACAAAGCAGUUUGAAAUGAAA
Molecule: long non-coding RNA, 712 nt
Filed under: Homo sapiens (human)
Lineage: Eukaryota; Metazoa; Chordata; Mammalia; Primates; Hominidae
Description: HSALNT0403360
Source: RNAcentral